RNAcentral lists this ribosomal RNA (427 nucleotides) under uncultured bacterium. RNAcentral describes it as "bacterial SSU rRNA". It matches the Rfam family "Bacterial small subunit ribosomal RNA", at positions 355 to 775 of the family's 1533-position model. The record is from RNAcentral.
UGGGGAAUCUUGCGCAAUGGGCGAAAGCCUGACGCAGCAACGCCGCGUGAGUGAAGAAGGCCUUCGGGUUGUAAAGCUCUGUCAGGGGGAAAGAAGGCACCUGGGUUAAUAGCCCAAGGGCUGACGGUACCCCCAAAGGAAGCCACGGCUAACUACGUGCCAGCAGCCGCGGUAAUACGUAGGUGGCAAGCGUUGUCCGGAAUCAUUGGGCGUAAAGCGCGCGUAGGUGGCUUGUCAGGUCUGAUGUGAAAUUUCGGGGCUCAACCCCGAACGUGCAUCGGAAACCGGCCUGCUAGAGUCUGGGAGAGGAGAGUGGAAUUCCUGGUGUAGCGGUGAAAUGCGUAGAUAUCAGGAGGAACACCGGUAGCGAAGGCGGCUCUCUGGAACAGUACUGACGCUGAGGCGCGAAAGCUAGGGGAGCGAACAG